AUCAAGUGUCUAAAGGGCAUUUGGUGGAUGCCUUGGC
Molecule: ribosomal RNA, 37 nt
Filed under: Bartonella quintana
Lineage: Bacteria; Pseudomonadati; Pseudomonadota; Alphaproteobacteria; Hyphomicrobiales; Bartonellaceae
Description: partial 23S ribosomal RNA
Source: RNAcentral